ACUGAAUCCAUAGGUUAAUGAGGCGAACCGGGGGAACUGAAACAUCUAAGUACCCCGAGGAAAAGAAAUCAACCGAGAUUCCCCCAGUAGCGGCGAGCGAACGGGGAGGAGCCCAGAGCCUGAAUCAGCAUGUGUGUUAGUGGAAGCGUCUGGAAAGGCGCGCGAUACAGGGUGACAGCCCCGUACACAAAAGCGCAUGUGCUGUGAGCUCGAUGAGUAGGGCGGGACACGUGGUAUCCUGUCUGAAUAUGGGGGGACCAUCCUCCAAGGCUAAAUACUCCUGACUGACCGAUAGUGAACCAGUACCGUGAGGGAAAGGCGAAAAGAACCCCGGCGAGGGGAGUGAAAAAGAACCUGAAACCGUGUACGUACAAGCAGUGGGAGCACCCUUUGGGGUGUGACUGCGUACCUUUUGUAUAAUGGGUCAGCGACUUAUAUUCUGUAGCAAGGUUAACCGUAUAGGGGAGCCGGAGGGAAACCGAGUCUUAAUUGGGCGUUAAGUUGCAGGGUAUAGACCCGAAACCCGGUGAUCUAGCCAUGGGCAG
This 545-nucleotide ribosomal RNA is filed under the name Salmonella enterica subsp. enterica serovar Oranienburg. Its description in RNAcentral is "partial 23S ribosomal RNA". It matches the Rfam family "Bacterial large subunit ribosomal RNA", at positions 157 to 743 of the family's 2925-position model. The record is from RNAcentral. Lineage: Bacteria; Pseudomonadati; Pseudomonadota; Gammaproteobacteria; Enterobacterales; Enterobacteriaceae.